Molecule: ribosomal RNA, 714 nt
Filed under: Lasiodiplodia theobromae
Lineage: Eukaryota; Fungi; Ascomycota; Dothideomycetes; Botryosphaeriales; Botryosphaeriaceae
Description: partial large subunit ribosomal RNA
Source: RNAcentral
AUUCGGCGAGGGCUCCUGCCUAAGUCCCCUGGAACGGGGCGUCAUAGAGGGUGAGAAUCCCGUAUGCGGUAGGUUGCCUUAGCCAUGUGAAUCUCCUUCGACGAGUCGAGUUGUUUGGGAAUGCAGCUCURAAUGGGAGGUAAAUUUCUUCUAAAGCUAAAUACCGGCCAGAGACCGAUAGCGCACAAGUAGAGUGAUCGAAAGAUGAAAAGCACUUUGGAAAGAGAGUUAAAAAGUACGUGAAAUUGUUGAAAGGGAAGCGCUUGCAACCAGACUUGUCCGCAGUUGCUCAGCCGGUCUCCUGACCGGCGUACUCUUMUGCGGCCAGGCCAGCAUCAGUUCGGGCGGUCGGAUAAAGGCCUCGGGAAUGUGGCUCCUCUCGGGGAGUGUUAUAGCCCGGGGUGCAAUGCGGCCAGCCUGGACUGAGGAACUCGCUUCGGCAAGGAUGCWGGCGUAAUGGUUGUWAGCGGCCCGUCUUGAAACACGGACCAAGGAGUCUAACAUCUAUGCGAGUGUUCGGGUGUCAAACCCGUACGCGUAAUGAAAGUGAACGGAGGUGGGAACCCGCAAGGGUGCACCAUCGGCCGAUCCUGAUGUCUUCGGAUGGAUUUGAGCAAGAGCAUAGCUGUUGGGACCCGAAAGAUGGUGAACUAUGCCUGAAUAGGGUGAAGCCAGAGGAAACUCURGUGGAGGCUCGCAGCGGUUCUGACGUGC